RNAcentral lists this ribosomal RNA (361 nucleotides) under uncultured soil bacterium. RNAcentral describes it as "bacterial SSU rRNA". It matches the Rfam family "Bacterial small subunit ribosomal RNA", at positions 26 to 383 of the family's 1533-position model. The record is from RNAcentral.
AGGACGAACGCUGGCGGCGUGCUUAACACAUGCAAGUCGAGCGGUAAGGCCUUUCGGGGUACACGAGCGGCGAACGGGUGAGUAACACGUGGGUGAUCUGCCCUGCACUCUGGGAUAAGCCUGGGAAACUGGGUCUAAUACCGGAUAUGACCUGCUCUCGCAUGGGGGGUGGUGGAAAGAUUUAGUCGGUGCAGGAUGGGCCCGCGGCCUAUCAGCUUGUUGGUGGGUAAUGGCCUACCAAGGCGACGACGGGUAGCCGACCUGAGAGGGUGACCGGCCACGACGUGGGACUGGAGACGACGGCCCAGACCUCCGUACGGGAGGCAGCGAGGUGGGAAUAUUGCACAGUGGGACGAAAGCC